UUUCUAAAUUAGGAUGAUUUGAUAUGUUUAAUAUUAGUGGUCUUAAAAAAUAAUAAUUAACCCGUAUUGAAACGGUGGAUUAAUUAUAUUUUACUUUUUUAUUAAUGUUGAUUCAAAAACCCGUCCCUCCAAAUCCGUCUUGCCAAAAAGCCAUUUAUUUUAUUAAUAUUAAUUUUAUUUAUGAUAUGACUCUGAAUUAUAAUCUAAACAUUUUAGCUAAUAACAUAGGAGUGCACCAUAUUUAUUUAAUAGAGGAAUGUACCAUAUGACCCGAAUAUAUUAGUUAAAUAUUAGUUAGCUUAAAUUAGUUAAAGAAUGCAAAUUGAAAAGGUAUAUUACACUUUAUUCGAAUCUAGUAUCAAAAUUUAUAUAACACACAGAUUUGAUAAUUUUUUAAUUGUUGAAUACUUUUUUUUUGUGCUAAUUUUUAUGUGAUUAAGAUUUAAUUGAUUUCGUAUAUAAAAUAUUAAAUUGUUUUACAAACUUAUUUGUUUAUAAUUUGGUAACAGAUAGAUAUUUAAAUAUUUGGUAUAUUUUGCUUCAACUUAGGAAAUCUUUGAUGACCCGUCUUUAGAUCCAAUAAGCCAUAUAAUUAAGAAAUGAAUAUUGUCGUUAAAUGAUUUUGGUAACCUUAAUGACGUCAUUAAAAGAUUUUUUUCUGAUUAAAUUUUUCUAUUGGCAUUGUCAUGUAAUUAAUUAC
Molecule: small RNA, 700 nt
Filed under: Arabidopsis thaliana (thale cress)
Lineage: Eukaryota; Viridiplantae; Streptophyta; Magnoliopsida; Brassicales; Brassicaceae
Description: ATSL151980
Source: RNAcentral